GGCCGCCGGAGCGAGGGGGGCCCCCCCGGUGCGGGCGGAGCUGAACGAGCUGCGGGAGCGGAUGGACAGGCUCCGGGCCGAUUUCGAUCUCUCCCAGCUCCGGACGCUGCGGCUGGAG
Non-coding RNA from Lonchura striata (white-rumped munia), 118 nucleotides. Lineage: Eukaryota; Metazoa; Chordata; Aves; Passeriformes; Estrildidae. The record is from RefSeq and is a predicted model, not a curated record.